UUCAUGCUCUGCCAUUCCAAAUCUUCAUUUCUGCAUUUCUCUAACUGUGUAUCCAACAGAAAUGAAAUAAACAUUUUUUGGACUGUCAAGAGAGCACACAAGG
Molecule: microRNA precursor, 103 nt
Filed under: Nannospalax galili (Upper Galilee mountains blind mole rat)
Lineage: Eukaryota; Metazoa; Chordata; Mammalia; Rodentia; Spalacidae
Description: miRNA (ENSNGAG00000009427.1)
Source: RNAcentral